UUACUAAAUUAAUUCAAAGCCCAACAGCAAUGUAAUUUAACUUAAGCCCAUUAGAAUAUUAAUAUGCACAUCAUAUUAACUUAAGCCCAACUAAAAUAACUUAAUAUCUCUCUCUUUUCUUUUCUUUUUCCUCACCAACGUCUCUCUCUGCGCUCUCUCUCUCUCACCGCUCUUCUCUCUCUCUUUCUCGGCGAGCAUCGCCGGUUCUCGCCGCCUCCGGCGCGGCGAGGCCGGCCCCUCUUCUGCCCUCUCCUUUCCUUCCCUAUUUUCUCCCCAAAUUCUAAAACCCCCAAAUUCUAGGGUUUUCUGGCACUAUUUUUCCUUCUGAAAUCCGCCCCUCCGACAAGGUCCGUCGCCGUCUUCAUCCCAGGAAUUGAUCGGCGUCGUCGACUCCGGCGUGACAGCUUCGUCUACUGCCCAAGAUUCUACCUUUCCUUCCUUUCUUUUUAUUUAUCUGGUUUCUUGUUCAAUUAUUGAAAAUUGGGAUCGUUGAUGACGAAGUAUACUGCUGCUUAUGCUUAACUUGUAUAACUAUAACUAUAUCUAUUUUGAUUGUUCAUGGCUGUUGAUCUAUACUCAAUGAAUGGAUUAUUGAAUAAAAGAAAGACUACCUUCUUUGCUGUGAA
This is a long non-coding RNA of Salvia miltiorrhiza (redroot sage), 626 nucleotides long. RefSeq lists it as uncharacterized. Lineage: Eukaryota; Viridiplantae; Streptophyta; Magnoliopsida; Lamiales; Lamiaceae. The record is from RefSeq and is a predicted model, not a curated record. The transcript has 2 exons.